RNAcentral lists this ribosomal RNA (873 nucleotides) under Lactiplantibacillus plantarum. RNAcentral's name for it is "bacterial SSU rRNA". It matches the Rfam family "Bacterial small subunit ribosomal RNA", at positions 439 to 1304 of the family's 1533-position model. Lineage: Bacteria; Bacillati; Bacillota; Bacilli; Lactobacillales; Lactobacillaceae. The record is from RNAcentral.
UUAAAGAAGAACAUAUCUGAGAGUAACUGUUCAGGUAUUGACGGUAUUUAACCAGAAAGCCACGGCUAACUACGUGCCAGCAGCCGCGGUAAUACGUAGGUGGCAAGCGUUGUCCGGAUUUAUUGGGCGUAAAGCGAGCGCAGGCGGUUUUUUAAGUCUGAUGUGAAAGCCUUCGGCUCAACCGAAGAAGUGCAUCGGAAACUGGGAAACUUGAGUGCAGAAGAGGACAGUGGAACUCCAUGUGUAGCGGUGAAAUGCGUAGAUAUAUGGAAGAACACCAGUGGCGAAGGCGGCUGUCUGGUCUGUAACUGACGCUGAGGCUCGAAAGUAUGGGUAGCAAACAGGAUUAGAUACCCUGGUAGUCCAUACCGUAAACGAUGAAUGCUAAGUGUUGGAGGGUUUCCGCCCUUCAGUGCUGCAGCUAACGCAUUAAGCAUUCCGCCUGGGGAGUACGGCCGCAAGGCUGAAACUCAAAGGAAUUGACGGGGGCCCGCACAAGCGGUGGAGCAUGUGGUUUAAUUCGAAGCUACGCGAAGAACCUUACCAGGUCUUGACAUACUAUGCAAAUCUAAGAGAUUAGACGUUCCCUUCGGGGACAUGGAUACAGGUGGUGCAUGGUUGUCGUCAGCUCGUGUCGUGAGAUGUUGGGUUAAGUCCCGCAACGAGCGCAACCCUUAUUAUCAGUUGCCAGCAUUAAGUUGGGCACUCUGGUGAGACUGCCGGUGACAAACCGGAGGAAGGUGGGGAUGACGUCAAAUCAUCAUGCCCCUUAUGACCUGGGCUACACACGUGCUACAAUGGAUGGUACAACGAGUUGCGAACUCGCGAGAGUAAGCUAAUCUCUUAAAGCCAUUCUCAGUUUCGGAUUGUAGG